Molecule: ribosomal RNA, 497 nt
Filed under: uncultured bacterium
Lineage: Bacteria
Description: partial 16S ribosomal RNA
Rfam family: Bacterial small subunit ribosomal RNA
Source: RNAcentral
GAUGAACGCUGGCGGCGUGCCUAAUACAUGCAAGUCGAGCGAACAGACGAGGAGCUUGCUCCUCUGACGUUAGCGGCGGACGGGUGAGUAACACGUGGAUAACCUACCUAUAAGACUGGGAUAACUUCGGGAAACCGGAGCUAAUACCGGAUAAUAUAUUGAACCGCAUGGUUCAAUAGUGAAAGACGGUUUUGCUGUCACUUAUAGAUGGAUCCGCGCCGCAUUAGCUAGUUGGUAAGGUAACGGGUUACCAAGGCAACGAUGCGUAGCCGACCUGAGAGGGUGAUCGGCCACACUGGAACGGAGAACCGGUCCACACCCCAACGGGAGGCAGCAGUAGGGAAUCUUCCCCAAUGGGCGAAAGCUUGACGGGUCAACGCCGCCUGAGUGAUGAAGGUCUUCGGAUCGUAAAACUCUGUUAUUAGGGAAGAACAAAUGUGUAAGUAACUAUGCACGUCUUGACGGUACCUAAUCAGAAAGCCACGGCUAACUACGUG